Long non-coding RNA from Chinchilla lanigera (long-tailed chinchilla), 319 nucleotides. RefSeq lists it as uncharacterized. NCBI's taxonomy places the organism in Eukaryota, Metazoa, Chordata, Mammalia, Rodentia, Chinchillidae. The transcript is spliced from 2 exons. The record is from RefSeq and is a predicted model, not a curated record.
UGCGGCGGAUGCCCCGAUUGGUUGCCUAAUGAUGUGAGCUAGCAUCUGAGAGGUGGUGAGCUCCGAGAGUUUGAGAAGCUCCCUGGAUAGUGCCUGGAACCGAAGCUGCAUGGGACGCAAGUGAAAUACCAUCAAGGCGGGGCUGGGGAUUUAGCUCAGCGGCACAGCGCCUGCCUGGCAAGCUUGAGGCCGUGAGUUCGAUUCCCGGUACCGAGGGGGAAAAAAAAAAAAAAAAAAAAAAAAUGUGGGGGGAAAAAAAAAAAUACCACCAAGUUGUAUCCCCAGGCCUUUGAAGUAAACAUACAAUGAAACUCUUGAA